Molecule: unclassified non-coding RNA, 699 nt
Filed under: Hevea brasiliensis (rubber tree)
Lineage: Eukaryota; Viridiplantae; Streptophyta; Magnoliopsida; Malpighiales; Euphorbiaceae
Source: RNAcentral
UGGCGGUGAUUGAUGAUGAAGAGAUAGAAAGGAGAUUGGGGAGAGAAUGGUGGAAACCUUUUGGAAGGCAGCGAAUUUGAAGGCUGUAGCCAUGGUGAAGAGGUUAGAGUUGGUGCUAGACUUGUUGGGAGUGAUCCAACUAGAUAAUCGAAGAUUGCUACUGGAAGUAGAGAAUGCACCAGGUGACAAGUUUUCAUUUCCUCAGGCAUUAAUAAAAGUGCAAAUCUUUGUAGAAUUAUAAACAUCAGAACUACAAGGGUCUCUGCCAAUCUGAAAUGCCAAGUCCCUGUCUCAUUAAUCUGUUUAUAAUCCUUCCAGUUCCCUCUACUUCAACACUCGCAUGACAAGGGGCAGAAAUACAAGAAUGAUUCAACGAGGACAUUGAGACUUGCUAUUGGGUUUGCCCAAAUUUCUGUAUCACUUGCUAAGCCUUCCAUUCUCUGUUCAGUUUGAGUUUCCAUAUGGGUCCUUCCAUUCUCGGUUCAGUUUGAGUUCCAAUAUAGGUUUAUUGUGUUUGCACUCUUCAAAAUAGCAGCUUGAAAAACUGUGUUGUUCAUAGUUUACAUAUGACACUGAGUCUUUUCUCAUUGCAGAUAGCGAUGAAGAUGAGCCUGCACAGUACCUGUGUCUUAUUCUGGGAAUCAUGUAGUGCUAUCAUUGUUAUAUGCUCAUGUAACAAUUAAUUUUAAAAUUUGGAAG